GCCCAUGAGGCUCAGUGGAUAGAGCAUCAGACUUCAGACUGAGGGGUCCCUGGUUCAAUUCCUAUCAAGGGCA
Myotis lucifugus (little brown bat) is the source of this 73-nucleotide non-coding RNA. The record is from Rfam. Lineage: Eukaryota; Metazoa; Chordata; Mammalia; Chiroptera; Vespertilionidae.